CCUACGGGUGGCUACAGUGAGGAAUAUUGGUCAAUGGCCGCAAGGCUGAACCAGCCAAGUCGCGUGAGGGAUGACGGUCCUAUGGAUUGUAAACCUCUUUUGUCAGGGAGCAAAGGGCGCCACGUGUGGCGUUUUGCGAGUACCCGAAGAAAAAGACUCGGCUAACUCCGUGCCCGCAGCCGCGGUAAUACGGAGGAUGCGAGCGUUAUCCGGGUUUAUUGGGUUUAAAGGGUUCGCGGGGGGAAGGUAAAGUCAGCGGUAAAAGUUUGGGGCGAAACCCCGUAGUGGCGUUGAAACUGGCGUUCUUGAGUGAGCGAGAAGUAUGCGGAAUGCGUGGUGUAGCGGUGAAAUGCAUAGAUAUCACGCAGAACUCCGAUUGCGAAGGCAGCAUACCGGCGCUCAACUGACGCUCAUGCACGAAAGCGUGGGUAUCGAACAGGAUUAGAUACCCUUGUAGUC
Molecule: ribosomal RNA, 459 nt
Filed under: uncultured bacterium
Lineage: Bacteria
Description: partial 16S ribosomal RNA
Rfam family: Bacterial small subunit ribosomal RNA
Source: RNAcentral